GUGCCAGCCGCCGCGGUAAUACGGAGGGUGCGAGCGUUAAUCGGAAUUACUGGGCGUAAAGCGCAUGCAGGUGGUUCGUUAAGUCAGAUGUGAAAGCCCGGGGCUCAACCUCGGAACUGCAUUUGAAACUGGCGGACUAGAGUACUGUAGAGGGGGGUAGAAUUUCAGGUGUAGCGGUGAAAUGCGUAGAGAUCUGAAGGAAUACCGGUGGCGAAGGCGGCCCCCUGGACAGAUACUGACACUCAGAUGCGAAAGCGUGGGGAGCAAACAGGAUUAGAUACCCGUGUAGUCCC
This 293-nucleotide ribosomal RNA is filed under the name uncultured bacterium. RNAcentral describes it as "partial 16S ribosomal RNA". It matches the Rfam family "Bacterial small subunit ribosomal RNA", at positions 505 to 797 of the family's 1533-position model. The record is from RNAcentral.